GAUGAAGAACGUAGCGAAAUGCGAUACGUAAUGUGAAUUGCAGAAUUCAGUGAAUCAUCGAAUCUUUGAACGCAUAUUGCGCUCUCUGGUAUUCCGGAGAGCAUGCUUGUUUGAGUAUCAGUAAACACCUCAACUUCCAUAUCUUUUUUGAAAUGGGAGUUGGACUUGAGUGAUCCCAACGCUUUUCCUCACCGAAAAGUGGCGGGUUACUUGAAAUGCAGGUGCAGCUGGACUUUUCUCUGAGCUAUAAGCAUAUCUAUUUAGUCUGCCUAAAAAACAGAUUAUUACCUUUGCUGCAGCUAACAUAAAGGAGAUUAGUUCUUGUGCUGACUGAUGCAGGAUUCACAAAGACGGCUUCGGCCGACUUUGUAAACUCGAUCUCAAAUCAAGUAAGACUACCCGCUGAACUUAAGCAUAUCAUAAGCGGAGGA
This 431-nucleotide unclassified non-coding RNA is filed under the name soil metagenome. RNAcentral describes it as "partial contains 5.8S ribosomal RNA, internal transcribed spacer 2, and large subunit ribosomal RNA". The stretch from base 1 to 120 matches the Rfam family "5.8S ribosomal RNA", at positions 35 to 154 of the family's 154-position model. The record is from RNAcentral.